GUAGGUGAACCUGCGGAAGGAUCAUUAAUAAGAAAAUGAACUUAUAAUUAACUGAAUAUAUAUUUGUAGUAAAAUACAAAUAUUAUUUUAAACUUAUAUUAGAUAAAAACCAUAAAUAAAUAUUGGUUGAUAUAAAAUUUUAAACUUUCAACGAUGGAUGUCUAGGCUCCCAUAACGAUGAAGAACGCAGCCAGAAUGCGAUAUGCAAUGUGAAUUGCAGAACCUUGAAUCAUUAGAUUUUUGAAUGCAACUUGCACUGGUCUAAAGCCAGUAUGCUUGUUUCAGUGUGCUAAGCAAAUUAUUAAAGAAUAAAAAUGUAAGAGAUUUUCUCUUAUUAAAUAUAUGCUCUAUGUAGCAGUCACAUUUUAUAUGUGAGCUAUAUAGUAGAUUUAAUGACUUUUAUUGGCACCUGAAAUCAAGUAAGAUGACCCGCUGAACUUAAGCAUAUCAGUA
Molecule: ribosomal RNA, 453 nt
Filed under: Pseudotontonia simplicidens
Lineage: Eukaryota; Ciliophora; Spirotrichea; Tontoniidae
Description: eukaryotic LSU rRNA
Rfam family: 5.8S ribosomal RNA (bases 143-290)
Source: RNAcentral